Non-coding RNA from Castor canadensis (American beaver), 3727 nucleotides. Lineage: Eukaryota; Metazoa; Chordata; Mammalia; Rodentia; Castoridae. The record is from RefSeq and is a predicted model, not a curated record.
CCAUGUCAGUUUGAGCAGUGCAUCGUGCAUUCCCUGCAGUCACUGAAAGACGUUCUCGAUUGCAAGCCUGGAGAAGCCAGUGUCUUUCAACAAUCUAAAACACAGGAGGAGGUUUGCCAACUAAGCAUCAAUAUCAUGCAGGUUUUUAUAUACUGUCUGGAACAACUGAGCACCAAGCCUGAUGCAGAUAUAGAUACUACACAUCUUUCUAUGGAUGUUUCUUCUCCUGAUUUGUUUGGAAGUAUCCAUGAAGACUUUACGUUGACUACUGAACAGCGACUUUUGAUAGUCCUGAGUAAUUGCUGCUAUCUAGAACGUCACACCUUCCUAAAUAUAGCAGAGCAUUUCGAAAAGUACAACUUCCAGGGAACUGAAAAAAUAACACAGGUUAGCAUGGCCUCACUGAAAGAUCUGGACCAACGACUCUUUGAAAAUUACAUUGAGCUAAAAGCAGAUCCCAUAGUUGGCUCUUUGGAACCUGGAAUUUAUGCGGGCUAUUUUGACUGGAAAGACUGCCUGCCUCCAACAGGUGUUAGAAACUAUUUAAAAGAAGCGCUGGUGAAUAUAAUUGCUGUGCAUGCAGAGGUAUUCACUAUUUCCAAAGAAUUGGUGUCACGUGUCCUAUCUAAGGUGGUAGAAGCAGUCUCUGAAGAACUAAGCCGACUGAUGCAGUGUGUCUCAUCCUUCAGCAAAAAUGGAGCUUUACAGGCGAGACUUGAAUCUGUGCUUUGAGGGAUACCGUGGCCAUUUACCUGACACCUGAAAGCAAGUCUAGUUUUAAACAGGCCUUGGAAGCCCUGCCUCAGCUCGCAAGUGGAGCAGAUAAAAAGUUACUGGAAGAGCUGCUGAACAAGUUCAAGAGUAGUAUGCACUUGCAGCUUACCUGCUUUCAAGCUGCUUCUUCAAUCAUGUUGAAAACAUAAAUGCCUGCAAGAAAAGGGUAGUCCAAAAAGAUAACCUGUAUACCCUGUAUACAACUGUUCACUUUCCUAAGUUCCUAAAGGUAUUUGGUGUAUAAAGUACUAGGGUUCUGAUUUCUUAGUCUCUUUUUUCCCCCAAGUUGGUAACUUAAACAGAUGAUGGUGUAUGUUUAAUUUUAACCAAUAAUUCUAUUUAAAAUGUCCAAACAGUGUUUUUUGUAUGUUUUUGUUAGAUUGAUUCCUUUAGGGCUAUUUAGCAUACCUUUAUAUGUAUAUAGACAUACAUGUAAUUUUUUUCUUUAGCUGAAUGUUUUGGUGGGAGCUGCUGGAGGGGCUUUUCAUGGAGAAUUAAGGUAGCACAUGGUGUGAAUGAAAGGACUUCUCAGUGUCUAAUUUACUAGAAUUUAAUGUGGCAGUUUCCAACACCAAAGACAUUAAUAAGAGAUUUGGAAAAUUGUACUUAGAUAUCUUUGAAGCUUUAUCCUAAAUUAUACAGUUGUACUUGCAAAAUUUAUUUCAUAAAGUGCCCCUAAAUAUCCUAACUCAAGUGGAUUUUUAGAAAAAAUUACCUUGUUUAAUUUUUCAAAAUAUAUUAUUACUGGGACAGAUUAUUUGUGAUACAGAUGUUCAUAAAUUAUCUCUGGAUUUUCCUGUCUGAUUUUAUUUUUCCCAGUGCUAAACAUUGAACACCUUUUGUUCUCGUUCGUUUUUUUUUUUCUUUUUUUGUGGUGCUGGAUGUCAAACCUGGGGUCUGGUGCGUGCCAGGUAAGCACCACUAAGGUACACCUUCAGCCCUCAUUCAUUCUUCAUGCACUUUGCAUCUGUUUGUUGUGCUUCCCAAGGUGCUGUUACCUGUAGUAGACUGUGGAUGCCAGAGGCCAAGUCACUCUCACAGGUGGUCUUUACACCACAAGCUAGGCCCACAGGGUCAGCCAGCAUUUCUGUCUGUGCCAGUCAUUCCCUCCCCUCUAGCAGCUCACUUUCUCUGCCCACUUUUUGCCCUUUGAAGUAUCUUGCUCCAUAGUGGAAGAGUGUUGCUGUGGCACAUCUGUGUUUUAAAGAUUCGAGAUGCCCCAGGGUCACUAGGCAGUGAUGCACUGCUGACUGGCUUGCAGAAAAGGCUCAGGUCACUGUGACCUCUCAAGAUAGCUUCCCCACCUACCUCAAUCCUACCCUUUGCUUCCAGAAACUGAGUAAAUCUCCAGUUGUGCUUUACUUGACAGGGUCUUCAGAACUUUCUAGUGGUAAUACAGAAUCUUCCUUUUCAAAUGUUGAAAUUAAUGUCUUUAUUAACACAAGUAAUUUUAGAGCACAGUAUAGCCAUAUACAGUAUCUAUUAUUUGAGGUAAAUGUUGUGUUUAUUCAUUUGGUGUCUAGGGGGAAAUCAUAAUAACUAGAAGUGAAAGUUUAAUCUUUUACAGAUGUGCUUGAUAAAGCUACUAAGGAGCAUGCAUAAUAUUGUUUCCCCUAAGCAAGUUAACCAAUGUAUCUAACAUGACUCCAAAUGAAAUUACAAAACUACAGUCCUGGAUGUUUGUGGUGUUUUAAAUAUCUGGAGUAACGCAUUCAGCCAAUAAAGAAUCUGUCUUUGCUCUAAGAUAUAAUUUCGUUGUUGUUUUUUCUCUGAGUGUCUUUACUUCAACAUUUUCACUAACUCCAUAACUGUUUAUAAGUCUAGUUUAACACUCAAAAUAAAUCUAUGUCAUUGUUUGAAAGCAUUUAACAGGUGUCUGCUAAUUCUGUUUGUUGGGGGCUUGCCAUGUGCACUAAAUUACCUCAUUUGAGCCUCACAUCUUCAUAGGCUUGGCCUCCUCCUGUGUCCAUUAGCAGAGGAGGCAAUCUGGGCCUAGAAAGAAGUGGGUGACUUCUCUAAAGCUGCAAGACUGGUAAGUGACAGGACCCACAUUUGUGCUUUCCUGAGCUUUCCUGGCUCCUCAUCACUGCCCAUUUUUUCCUCCCAGCCAUCCUUCUGCUGGGGACACAACUGAGGGAAAGCAUGUCAUUGCCAGAGGCUAAUGAACUCUAGCAAUGUAGGAAUACGUGAGUGCUGUUAUGGCUCAGAGAAUGGAGGGUAGUGACAUAAAAACCCCAAACCAAAUGAGGGAGUUCAAGGACGACUCUUCCAACAAGUCAUGGGGACUUCUUGGAAGAAGGGGAUUUCAAGAGCCACUUGAGUUACAGAAGACGAAUUUAGUGGUAAAUAGGAGAUGGAGAGGCAUGACCUCAGUCAGAAGAAAGUUAGAGAUAGACCAGGCUUUGGAGCAAGUUUCACAGAGGCAGCUGAGGAAGAGAAUAGAGAUGCUCCUAGGUACUCUCAUUUUCAGAUAGCAUUUUACUUUUAGCACAUCUAUGUCUAUGUGGGUCAGCAUCACCUCAUGUGAGUUAGCUACUUUGGCUAAAGGACUACUAGAAAUAAUUUGGUUUUACUAAGACUUUCUAUAUCAGUGUACUAUGAAAGUGGCAUGUUCUAGAAAUGAUUUGGGCUUUGCAAAACAAGCAUCAUUGCUGUAGGCCCUGCUCACUGACUCAUCCCCCUCUGUCUGUCAGCCUUGCAUGCAGCUCUUAGAGAAUGGAUAGAAAAGGUUACAUUUUAAUUCUAGUUUUAGUACAAGUUAUUGGUAUUUGUUUCUGUUUUGAACACGUGUUGUGAGAUAUUCUGCUGUUAGGUGUAUAAAAGUACUGUAAUGUGUUUUCCAAAAAGUUAUAAAUUUCAACUAGCUUUUAAAUUCAAGAUUAGGUUUCUAAAACAAUCAGCAUAAUUUUAUUAACAUAACUAGAUGUCAAAUAUAUUUAUAUACUUAAAAUAA